This is a long non-coding RNA of Lutra lutra (Eurasian river otter), 1293 nucleotides long. RefSeq lists it as uncharacterized. Lineage: Eukaryota; Metazoa; Chordata; Mammalia; Carnivora; Mustelidae. The record is from RefSeq and is a predicted model, not a curated record. The transcript has 2 exons.
AGCCCAACGUGGGGCUCAGUUUAACCACCCUGAGAUCAUGACCUGAGCUGAAAUCAAGAGUCAGAUGCUUCACCAACUGAGCUGCCCAGGCACCCCUCAAUUAUAAUUUUUAGUGGAGAAGCAAAGGGUGGCUCUCUAAUUUAUGGGACUCCUUAGCUUACGUAAAAAGCUGCAGGAAGUAACUGCAUUGCAGGGAUGAUUAGUUUGUGGGAAUCUACUGUUUGUUCUGCCCAUUUAGUUAACAUCCUUCCAAAGAGACAUGGCAUAAAAAUGGAAGAAACUAUUAUACAUUUUGAUAUGGAGUGUGUUUAACAGACAAAAUGUGGUUCGCAGAGUAGAAUGCUAAGCUAAAGACCCAAGUUUCUACUACGACUGUCAUCAUCUCAUGGAUCCUAUUUUCACCUUUCUGUACUUUCCUAUUUCUUUUUAUAAAAAAGCACUAGUGAUCAUUUUUGACACUUUCCUUACUCAGAGGUAACAAAAGGAUGCUACAGUGAAUGUUUAAGUAUCUUGAGCUCCUUAAAUAAAAGGUGCUAAAUAAACACAUUAAGAAUCUACCUUCAGAAAAAGGUAGUAUUCUUUCUCACCCUGAUCCCUACGGUCGAUAUUGAUCCAAAGACAAUUAAGUGGUAGAAAUGUAUGGCAAAUAGAAGUCUGUGUCUAUGUAUUACAGAGAUGUAUAUGACAGAUGUAAACAGAAUAAAAUGAAGACAAUAAUGAAAAAUUGUUUGGGGAAUGUGAUAAAGAGAUUAUUAAACUCAGAGUUCACCAUAAAAAAAAUUUUUUUCAUGGUUGCUUGAACAGGGCUCUUUGCAAAAUAAUUGAUGUGACUUAUUUCUGCUCUCUGUGGUCUGCUGUGGUGUCAGAUGUUGGUUAUAUUGUUUCUUUUCGGUGGAACCCUCAGCAACAGAGUUGGGACAGAAAAGGCUUUGCUUUGAUGAUAUAUCGACUGUUGAUCUCCUAAGAAAUUCUUUAAAAUACAGGUUGGCUGUGCAGUGAAAGAGUGGAAAGGGAAGUGGAGUAUAGGGUCUCCCGCCCACAUUUACCUCCACUACCUGAAGAAGGCAGAAUGCAUUUCUCUCUCUACCUUAUUGCCUUUUCCGGAAUGUCAUCUGAAUGGAAGCCAUUUGAGUUUGGCUUCUAGCAUAACACCCUUGGGCUGCAUCCCAGUUGUUGGGGGUAUCCGAAGUUGGCUCAUUCUGAUCGCUGAUGCACCACCGUUUAUCUAUUCACCAACCUUCAGAUUCCUUCCAAUGUGGGGCAAUGACAAAUAAAGUUGCUCUAAAAACUUGA